UGGGGAAUAUUGGACAAUGGGGGCAACCCUGAUCCAGCAAUACCGCGUGUGUGAAGAAGGCCUGCGGGUUGUAAAGCACUUUCAAUUGUGAAGAAAAGCCUAAGGUUAAUAACCUUGGGUCUUGACGUUAACUUUAGAAGAAGCACCGGCUAACUCCGUGCCAGCAGCCGCGGUAAUACGGAGGGUGCAAGCGUUAAUCGGAAUUACUGGGCGUAAAGCGCGCGUAGGUGGUUAGGUAAGUCAGAUGUGAAAGCCCCGGGCUCAACCUGGGAACUGCAUUUGAUACUGCCUGGCUAGAGUAUGGUAGAGGGAAGCGGAAUUCCGGGUGUAGCGGUGAAAUGCGUAGAUAUCCGGAGGAACAUCAGUGGCGAAGGCGGCUUCCUGGACCAAUACUGACACUGAGGUGCGAAAGCGUGGGUAGCAAACAGGAUUAGAUACCCCCGUAGUCC
RNAcentral lists this ribosomal RNA (449 nucleotides) under uncultured prokaryote. RNAcentral describes it as "bacterial SSU rRNA". It matches the Rfam family "Bacterial small subunit ribosomal RNA", at positions 355 to 796 of the family's 1533-position model. The record is from RNAcentral.